UAAGCGUGUGAUGAAUUUGAGGCUCAACCUCAAACUGUUACACGAACUGCAUCGCUAGAGUAUAUGAGAGGUAGCUGGAAUUCCUUGUGUAGGAGUGAAAUCCGUAGAUAUAAGGAGGAACACCGAUGGCGUAGGCAGGCUACUGGCAUAUUACUGACACUGAGGCACGAAAGCGUGGGAGCGAACGGGAUUAGAUACUCCGGUAGUCCACGCCGUAAACGAUGGAUGCUA
This 231-nucleotide ribosomal RNA is filed under the name uncultured Candidatus Saccharibacteria bacterium. RNAcentral's name for it is "partial 16S ribosomal RNA". It matches the Rfam family "Bacterial small subunit ribosomal RNA", at positions 584 to 818 of the family's 1533-position model. Lineage: Bacteria; Candidatus Saccharimonadota. The record is from RNAcentral.